RNAcentral lists this long non-coding RNA (758 nucleotides) under Salmo salar (Atlantic salmon). RNAcentral describes it as "lncRNA (ENSSSAG00000103572.1)". The record is from RNAcentral. Lineage: Eukaryota; Metazoa; Chordata; Actinopteri; Salmoniformes; Salmonidae.
GGGCCAGUUGUACUGUUAGAGGGGGCCAGUUGUACUGUUAGAGGGGCCAGUUGUACUGUUAGAGGGGCCAGUUGUUCUGUUAGAGGGGGCCAGUUGUUCUGUUAGAGGGGGCCAGUUGUACUGUUAGAGGGGCCAGUUGUUCUGUUAGAGGGGCCAGUUGUACUGUUAGAGGGGGCCAGUUGUACUGUUAGCGGGGCCAGUUGUACUGUUAGAGGGGCCAGUUGUUCUGUUAGAGGGGGCCAGUUGUGCUGUUAGAGGGGCCAGUUGUACUGUUAGAGGGGCCAGUUAUACUGUUAGACGGGCCAGUUAUACUGUUAGAGGGGCCAGUUAUACUGUUAGAGGGGCCAGUUAUACUGUUAGAGGGGCCAGUUAAACACACACAGGGCCAGUUAUACUGUUAGAGGGGCCAGUUGUACUGUUAGAGGGGGCCAGUUGUACUGUUAGAGGGGCCAGUUGUACUGUUAGAGGGGCCAGUUGUUCUGUUAGAGGGGGCCAGUUGUACUGUUAGAGGGGCCAGUUGUACUGUUAGAGGGGCCAGUUGUUCUGUUAGAGGGGCCAGUUGUACUGUUAGAGGGGCCAGUUAUAGUGUUAGAGGGGCCAGUUGUACUGUUAGAGGGGCCAGUUUGGGGCCAGUUGUACUGUUAGAGGGGCCAGUUGUACUGUUAGAGGGGCCAGUUGUACUGUUAGAGGGGCCAGUUGUACUGUUAGAGGGGCCAGUUGUGCUGUUAGAGGGGCCAGUUGUACUGUUAGAGGGGCCA